This 497-nucleotide ribosomal RNA is filed under the name uncultured bacterium. Its description in RNAcentral is "partial 16S ribosomal RNA". It matches the Rfam family "Bacterial small subunit ribosomal RNA", at positions 28 to 507 of the family's 1533-position model. The record is from RNAcentral.
GAUGAACGCUGGCGGCGUGCCUAAUACAUGCAAGUCGAGCGAACGGACGAGAAGCUUGCUUCUCUGAUGUUAGCGGCGGACGGGUGAGUAACACGUGGAUAACCUACCUAUAAGACUGGGAUAACUUCGGAAAACCGGCGCUAAUACCGGAUAAUCUUUUGCACCGCAUGGUUCAAAAGUGAAAGGCGGUCUUGCUGUCACUUAUCGAUGGAUCCGCGCUGCAUUAGCUAGUUGGUAAGGUAACGGCUUACCAAGGCAACGAUGCAUAGCCGACCUGAGAGGGUGAUCAGCCACACUGGAACGGAGACACGGUCCAGAGUCCUACGGGAGGGAGCAGUAGGGAAACUUGCGCAAUGGGCGAAAGCCUGACGAAGCAACGCCGCGGGAGGGAUGAAGGUCUUCGGAUCGUAAAACUCUGUUAUUAGGGAAGAACAUAUGUGUAAGUAACUGUGCACAUCAGGACGGUACCUAAUCAGAAAGCCACGGCUAACUACGUG